CCUGGUGCAGUGGCCAGCAGCACGGGUGUGGGCGCAAGGCGGAUGGGGAGGUCUGGGGUUCGAGCUGCAGUUUGCGCACGCAAGGUUAGGAUUUUUACCUUGAUUGGAAUUUGAAUUACGGCGAAAGAAUUUGGGUGUAAUUAAAAUUAAGGAAGGAAUUUUAAUGGAAUUCAAACUGGAAAGAAGUGGGGUAAGUAUUUAAGCCAACUAUAGGGUGUUAGUUGGGGAGUUUUUUCGGCUAGUCUCUUGG
Molecule: long non-coding RNA, 250 nt
Filed under: Gossypium barbadense (sea-island cotton)
Lineage: Eukaryota; Viridiplantae; Streptophyta; Magnoliopsida; Malvales; Malvaceae
Description: long non-coding RNA (GBAR_LNC012659)
Source: RNAcentral